Molecule: ribosomal RNA, 103 nt
Filed under: Candidatus Anaerobiospirillum pullistercoris
Lineage: Bacteria; Pseudomonadati; Pseudomonadota; Gammaproteobacteria; Aeromonadales; Succinivibrionaceae
Description: partial 16S ribosomal RNA
Rfam family: Bacterial small subunit ribosomal RNA
Source: RNAcentral
UAAGUGAAGAGUUUGAUCAUGGCUCAGAUUGAACGCUGGCGGCAGGCCUAAUACAUGCAAGUUGAACGGUAACAGGAAAGAAGCUUGCUUCUUUUGCUGACGA